This 1875-nucleotide long non-coding RNA is filed under the name Homo sapiens (human). Its description in RNAcentral is "HSALNT0141692". Lineage: Eukaryota; Metazoa; Chordata; Mammalia; Primates; Hominidae. The record is from RNAcentral.
GUGGAGUGCCGGAAUUCAGGGGAAUCUGUGUUAUCAUGCACACUCUUCUCUGAGGAUAGAAUCACAGGCACACCAAAAACUAGCCAUCGCCGUUAGGGACGGCAUCAGAAGGGACAGCCCCAAAAGAUUACACAGGACAAAAGAAGUGGUCAAAUACAAGGAUUCCUUUACCAGCCAAUUGGAGCACAGAGAAAGGUAAAGUGGCCCAGAGCCACAAGCUCAGCAGUGACAGAAUUCAGAUCUAAGACCAAGCAUUUCAACUCCAGUGCCCGAGCUCUCCAUCACCAUACUACAACAACUCAAAUGAAAAAAAGAUAUGGAAAUACAUAUAUUUCUGAACGUAUAUAGAAGAAGAAGAAAUGCAGCAUAUAAUCAACACUAGAAAAAAAGUGUUACCUGAAAAUCAAUAUAAAAAAGUGUCCUCUUAGGGUGAGGAGAGAUAAUAUUUAGAGGCAAACAUAGAAAACACCAAUAAAUAUUUGUUUCAUCUCUGUUUUUGCACACAUACACACAAACACAAUAAACAUUUCUGCUAUUUUGUUGUUAAUUUGGUUUAUUUAUUUGAAAUAUAAAUAAAAAUAUGUGAGAAUUUUAAAAAGAAGCUAUCCUCAAUGAGAGAAUGGAAAAUGAAAUAAUACUUAGAAAAACUGUCAGUGUUUAAAACCAAAUGACCAGUCACUUCCAUACCAGGUAUUAAGAGAAAAUGACAAACUUUGCUGCAGACCUCAGCACUCAUGAUUCAGAGCAACAUCAGAUGGAAGAGGAUAAACGAAGAGCUCAUGGGAAGAACAUAGCCUCCAAUCUAAAACUUGCUGGGCAGCCAAGAAAAAUGCCCAGAAAGUACUGAAGUGAGUUACAUAGCAAAGUCAUUAGUAUAGGUUUGAAAAUGGAGAGCAUUGCAUACAGCUAGAUAUAGUGUUGCACUGAGCAAUUCUCAACAUAUCAAUACAACUUUCUUACCCCAUUUUCUCAUAGAAGAAUGAGAAACCAAUCAGGCUGAUAUGACAAAUAUUACUCUCAUUAGAUAAAAAAUGUCAUACUCAGGAAGCCUUAAAAUAUACUAAAAUAUACUUUUUCCAUAUCAACACAGAAGUUAAUUGCAAGAAAUUUACAAAUAAUGGUUGUUCAUGGCACAACCUCAAUAUUUUGAAAUCCACAACUGUCAGUCCUCUGUAUGGAAUUAUCUAUCAACAGUUUUAAUGAUGUAGAUAAAAUAAUAAAUCAGUUGCUAAUUUAAUUUGCUGACAGCAAUAACUUGGAAUCAUUAUAUUCAGAUAUAAGUCAUAUUAAUUAAAUUCCAUUCUAUUUCAAAUAUUGCAUAAUGUAAAUGUGUAUUACUUUGUUUUCAAAAAAAAUCUCUUGAAGUAAUUAUUAACUGCCUUUCUUUGGUAAUGAAAGAAAGAUUCAGAAUUGUAUUGACUAAUCUUGGGUUAACAAUUGAGAGAGUGAUGAAGUCAGGAUUUGAACCUGGGUCACAGUUUUCUACUAUCUCCGCUGUCUUUUGGUGGCAUUAAUACUGUAAAAGCCAAACAGAUUUUGAACAUUUUUAAUGUUUUUAAACAAAGUGACUAUCCAAACUACAGCUUUACAGAGGAGUUAUUUCAAAUUAAUUUACUUGAGAAUGAGAAUGGCAAUGAAAAUUAAGAUUUAUUGAACUCUGCUUUAAGCACUAUGUUAAGAUCUUUUUAAAAUGUCAUUUUAUUCAAUUUAUACAUUCAGCAAAUAUUUAUUUGAUGUGUUUUAGGUGUUGGUGAAAUAGCAAAACAUACAAGAUAAUCUGUCCUUGUGGAACUCACCCACUUAUUAGGGAGAAAAAGAUAUAUAUGAACACUAACUAUAAGGUGAUUUUAGGUAAAAUAAAGAUAUAAAGAGACA